AACACCGGCACCUCAAGUGGUAGCCACUAUUAUUGGGCCUAAAGCGUUCGUAGCCGGCUUGGUAAAUUCCUGGGUAAAUCGUACCGCUCAACGGUGCGGAUUCCGGGGACACUGCCAGGCUUGAGACCGGGGGAGAUCAGAGGUACUUGCGGGGGAGCGGUGAAAUGUUGUAAUCCCGCAGGGACCACCAAUGGCGAAGGCAUCUGAUCAAAACGGCUCUGACGGUGAGGGACGAAACCCUGGGGCGCAAACGGGAUUAGAUACCCCGGUAGUCCAGGGCGUAAACGCUGCUGACUUGGUGUUGGGGAUCCUACGAGGAUGUCCAGUGCUGGCGCGAAGGUAUUAAGUCAGCCGCCUGGGGAGUACGGUCGCAAGACUGAAACUUAAAGGAAUUGGCGGGGGAGCACUGCAACGUGUGGAGCGUGCGGUUUAAUUGGAUUCAACGCCGGAAAACUCACCGGGGGCGACGGUUACAUGAAGGCCAAGCUGAUGACUUUGCCUGAUUUUCCGAGAGGUGGUGCAUGGCCGCCGUCAGUUCGUACCGUAAGGCGUUCUGUUAAGUCAGAUAACGAACGAGACCUCCGUCACCAUUUGCUAUUCUUCUCUCCGGAGAGGGAGCACUAUGGUGGUACCGCCACUGUUAAAGUGGAGGAAGGAGGGGGCAACGGUAGGUCAGUAUGCCCCGAAUCUCCCGGGCUACACGCGCGCUACAAAGGGCAGGACAAUGGGCUUCGACACCGAAAGGUGGAGGCAAUCCCGAAACCUGCUCGUAAUUCGGAUUGAGGGCUGCAAUUCGCCCUCAUGAAGCUGGAAUACGUAGUAAUCGCGGGUCAACAUCCCGCGGUGAAUAUGCCCCUGCUCCUUGCACACACCGCCCGUCAAACCACCUUAGUUGGGUCUGGACGAGGGUUUGUCUUCUGACACGCUCGAAUCUGGGUUCAGCGAGGAGGGUUAAGUCGUAACAAGGUAUCCGUAGGGGAACCUGCGGAUGGAUCACCUCCU
This 1002-nucleotide ribosomal RNA is filed under the name Candidatus Poseidoniia archaeon. RNAcentral's name for it is "bacterial SSU rRNA". It matches the Rfam family "Archaeal small subunit ribosomal RNA", at positions 472 to 1478 of the family's 1478-position model. Lineage: Archaea; Methanobacteriati; Thermoplasmatota; Candidatus Poseidoniia. The record is from RNAcentral.